GGUUGAUCCUGCCAGUAGUCAUAUGCUUGUCCCAAAGAUUAAGCCAUGCAUGUCCAAGUAUAAACAAGUCUAUACAGUGAAACUGCGAAUGGCUCAUUAUAUCAGUUAUAAUUUAUUUGAUAGUCUCUUACCUACUCGGAUAACCGUGGUAAUUCUAGAGCUAAUACGUGCACAAGGCCUGACUCUUUGCGGGGGAGGGCUGUAUUUAUUAGAUAAAAAACCAAUGCCAGUGAAAUACAUGGCUCUCGGUGAUUCAUGAUAACUAAGCGGAUCGUAUGACCUCGAGUCGACG
This 292-nucleotide ribosomal RNA is filed under the name uncultured eukaryote. RNAcentral's name for it is "partial 18S ribosomal RNA". It matches the Rfam family "Eukaryotic small subunit ribosomal RNA", at positions 6 to 289 of the family's 1831-position model. The record is from RNAcentral.